AUUGGACAAUGGGCGAAACGUGAUCCAGCAAUACCGCGUGUGUGAAGAAGGCCUGAGGGUUGUAAAGCACUUUCAAUAGGAAGGAAUACCUGCCGGCUAAUACCCGGUAGASUGACAUUACCUAUACAAGAAGCACCGGCUAACUCCGUGCCAGCAGCCGCGGUAAUACGGAGGGUGCAAGCGUUAAUCGGAAUUACUGGGCGUAAAGCGUGCGUAGGCGGCUUGUUCAGUCAGAUGUGAAAGCCCUGGGCUUAACCUGGGAACUGCAUUUGAUACUGGCAGGCUAGAGUUUAGUAGAGGGGAGUGGAAUUUCAGGUGUAGCGGUGAAAUGCGUAGAGAUCUGAAGGAACACCAGUGGCGAAGGCGGCUCCCUGGACUAAAACUGACGCUGAGGUACGAAAGCGUGGGUAGCAAACAGGAUUAGAUACCCUGGUAGUCCACGCCGUAAACGAUGUCAACUAACCGUUGGGUUCUUAAAGAACUUAGUGGUGGAGCUAACGUAUUAAGUUGACCGCCUGGGGAGUACGGCGCAA
RNAcentral lists this ribosomal RNA (533 nucleotides) under uncultured bacterium. RNAcentral describes it as "bacterial SSU rRNA". It matches the Rfam family "Bacterial small subunit ribosomal RNA", at positions 363 to 891 of the family's 1533-position model. The record is from RNAcentral.